RNAcentral lists this ribosomal RNA (460 nucleotides) under uncultured bacterium. RNAcentral's name for it is "partial 16S ribosomal RNA". It matches the Rfam family "Bacterial small subunit ribosomal RNA", at positions 338 to 795 of the family's 1533-position model. The record is from RNAcentral.
CCUACGGGUGGCAGCAGUGAGGAAUAUUGGUCAAUGGACGCGAGCCUGAACCAGCCAAGUAGCGUGAAGGAUGACUGCCCUAUGGGUUGUAAACUUCUUUUAUAUGGGAAUAAAAUGUUCCACGUGUGGGAUUUUGUAUGUACCAUAUGAAUAAGGAUCGGCUAACUCCGUGCCAGCAGCCGCGGUAAUACGGAGGAUCCGAGCGUUAUCCGGAUUUAUUGGGUUUAAAGGGAGCGUAGGUGGAUUGUUAAGUCAGUUGUGAAAGUUUGCGGCUCAACCGUAAAAUUGCAGUUGAAACUGGCAGUCUUGAGUACAGUAGAGGUAGGCGGAAUUCGUGGUGUAGCGGUGAAAUGCUUAGAUAUCACGAAGAACUCCGAUUGCGAAGGCAGCUCACUGGACUGCAACUGACACUGAGGCUCGAAAGUGUGGGUAUCAAACAGGAUUAGAUACCCUGGUAGUC